CUCUGUGACUCCUACGGGAGGCAGCAGUGGGGAAUAUUGCACAAUGGGCGCAAGCCUGAUGCAGCAACGCCGUGUGAGUGAAGAAGGUUUUCGGAUCGUAAAACUCUUGUCCUAAGGGAAGAAACAAAUGACGGUACCUUAGGAGGAAGCCCCGGCUAACUACGUGCCAGCAGCCGCGGUAAUACGUAGGGGGCAAGCGUUAUCCGGAAUCACUGGGCGUAAAGGGUGCGUAGGCGGCUUAGCAAGCCAGGGGUGAAAGGCAUUGGCUCAACCAAUGUAAGCCUUUGGAACUGUUAAGCUUGAGUGCAGGAGAGGUAAGUGGAAUUCCUAGUGUAGAGGUGAAAUUCGUAGAUAUUAGGAGGAACACCAGUGGCGAAGGCGACUUACUGGACUGUAACUGACGCUGAUGCACGAAAGCGUGGGGAGCAAACAGGAUUAGAUACCCUGGUAG
RNAcentral lists this ribosomal RNA (451 nucleotides) under uncultured bacterium. RNAcentral's name for it is "bacterial SSU rRNA". It matches the Rfam family "Bacterial small subunit ribosomal RNA", at positions 328 to 793 of the family's 1533-position model. The record is from RNAcentral.